UACGUAGGUGGCAAGCGUUGUCCGGAUUUACUGGGCGUAAAGGGCGUGCAGGCGGUUUGUUUAGUCUAGGGUGAAAGCUCCCGGCUUAACUGGGAGAGGUCCUUGGAUACUGGCAAACUUGAGGGAGGCAGAGGAAAGUGGAAUUCCCGGUGUAGUGGUGAUAUGCGUAGAUAUCGGGAGGAACACCAGUGGCGAAGGCGGCUUUCUGGGCCUUACCUGACGCUGAGACGCGAAAGCGUGGGGAGCAAACAGG
RNAcentral lists this ribosomal RNA (253 nucleotides) under uncultured bacterium. Its description in RNAcentral is "partial 16S ribosomal RNA". It matches the Rfam family "Bacterial small subunit ribosomal RNA", at positions 524 to 776 of the family's 1533-position model. The record is from RNAcentral.